ACCGGCAGCUCUAGUGGUAGCAAUUUUUAUUGGGCCUAAAGCGUCCGUAGCCGGUUUAAUAAGUCUCUGGUGAAAUCCUGCAGCUUAACUGUGGGAAUUGCUGGAGAUACUAUUAGACUUGAGACCGGGAGAGGUUGGAGGUACUCCCAGGGUAGAGGUGAAAUUCUGUAAUCCUGGGAGGACCGCCUGUUGCGAAGGCGUCUAACUGGAACGGUUCUGACGGUGAGGGACGAAAGUUAGGGGCGCGAACCGGAUUAGAUACCCGGGUAGUCCUAACUGUAAACGAUGCGGACUUGGUGUUGGGGUGGCUUUGAGCUGUCCCAGUGCCGAAGGGAAGCUGUUAAGUCCGCCGCCUGGGAAGUA
Molecule: ribosomal RNA, 363 nt
Filed under: uncultured archaeon
Lineage: Archaea
Description: bacterial SSU rRNA
Rfam family: Archaeal small subunit ribosomal RNA
Source: RNAcentral